This 70-nucleotide transfer RNA is filed under the name Xenodexia ctenolepis. Its description in RNAcentral is "tRNA-Ile". It matches the Rfam family "tRNA". Rfam says of the family: Transfer RNA (tRNA) molecules are approximately 80 nucleotides in length. Their secondary structure includes four short double-helical elements and three loops (D, anti-codon, and T loops). Lineage: Eukaryota; Metazoa; Chordata; Actinopteri; Cyprinodontiformes; Poeciliidae. The record is from RNAcentral.
GGAGCCGUGCCUGAAGUAAAGGGUUACUUUGAUAGAGUAAACAAUGAGGGUUAAACCCCCUCCGCCUCCU